Molecule: ribosomal RNA, 253 nt
Filed under: uncultured bacterium
Lineage: Bacteria
Description: partial 16S ribosomal RNA
Rfam family: Bacterial small subunit ribosomal RNA
Source: RNAcentral
UACGGAGGGUGCAAGCGUUAUCCGGAUUCACUGGGUUUAAAGGGUGCGUAGGUGGAUUGGUAAGUCAGUGGUGAAAUCUCCAGGCUUAACUUGGAAACUGCCAUUGAUACUAUCAAUCUUGAAUACCGUGGAGGUCAGCGGAAUAUGUCAUGUAGCGGUGAAAUGCUUAGAUAUGACAUAGAACACCAAUUGCGAAGGCAGCUGGCUACACGAAUAUUGACACUGAUGCACGAAAGCGUGGGGAUCAAACAGG